This 2093-nucleotide long non-coding RNA is filed under the name Salmo salar (Atlantic salmon). RNAcentral's name for it is "lncRNA (ENSSSAG00000120477.1)". Lineage: Eukaryota; Metazoa; Chordata; Actinopteri; Salmoniformes; Salmonidae. The record is from RNAcentral.
UACACUUAGCGUUUCACCGAAGACUUUUAUUUUGAAGGCAAAAUCGGAAAAACGGAAGUUUUAAUACUGCUGGCGGAUGCAAAUCCCUUGUUCUAUCUGGCUCUGGGGUUUUUCCGCGCCCCGCUGGUGGUCUAUGGAGGUACUGCAGGGGGCCUGCUUAUUUUUGGGGGGGAAAUAUUUGUGGGGAUUUUUUAAUAUGACAAAAACAUUUUUAUGAAUAUCGCUAGAUACAAGAGAAUACCAUCGUGAAUACCAUUUUAUGUCUCUGUAUCCAGUAUGAAUAAUAUUAGAGGUAGUUUCACGAGCAAAUGCUAAUUAGUGUUAGCACAAUGACUGGAAGUCUACGGAACAGUUAGCAUGCUAGCUGUUCCGGUUCAUCCGACUCUGGGGAGUAGAUAAAUGGCUUCACUGCAAAAAUCUCAAACUAUCCCCAUAACAUGGAGGACAUUACAGUCAUUGGAGCUAAUUACAGAGGUUUUUCUGUAUAUAAUAUUCUGAGGUGGGCCUUCUAAGUGGUAAUGUUCGGGAUGGAAAAAUAGUUUCAGUGUCAACUUAAACGACCAAAACCAGAUAGAUAUUAUACAGAAAUUAUAUUUGUAUACCAUCUUUGAGAACUAACAAACAAAUAAAAUCUAUACAGUCAGGGAUCGAAAAUAAAAAGAAAUCAGGCAUUCAGGGCACAUGCCAAUUGAUUUUGUUAUGUUUGAGCAGCCAUGGCAAAAUGUAUAGAAUUGCAGGAAAUUUGCUUUGAAACUGCAAAGUUCUUUCUCAGCUUUGUGUAGAAUUGUUGGAAAUUAGCUUAAAAUCUACAAUUUUUUCUUUCAGCUCAAUGGAAAAAUGUACUAAAGCAACAUUUUCUCUCCACCGCCAAGAUACCUUUACCUUUCUAGCAAAUUGAGUUUACACUUCCUCUUCCAAUGACCAGUGAGGAGGCCAAAAUAAUAUUAAUAAUAAUAAUAUACAUUUAUUCAACUUCUAUAGUUAAGGAGAUCAUACAUUUUUUUUAUUUAACCUUUAUUUAACCAGGUAGGCCUGUUGAGAACAAGUUCUCAUUUACAACUGCGAAUUAUGAUGCAUGUGAAUAGUUUUGUAUCUAAAAUCUAAGUGUUGCAACAUUUGAGUGCCACGGGAUAUCUGAACAUCAUUGCCAGUCAGGUGCAUCCCUUCAUGGUAGCAGUGUAUCCAUCUGCAAAUAUAUUUGAUUUAAUUUAGUGCAGAUGUGAAGUUUCUGAAGGGAUAUAUGACACACUUUAUGUUGUUUGAAUAUCAAUAUACUGUACUUUAUUAGAACACAUCGUAUUUCAUAAUAGUGCUGAGAUUAACAUUUAAAAAAUGUAUAAAGUUCCUACUCAUAUGUUGUUCCAUUCAGGAUAGUGUCCUCACUAAUGUACCAGUUGUCAAUGUCACCUUUGAUGAAGCCAGCGAUGAUAACAAAAACAAACACUACUGUAUUUACUGCUGUAAAAAAUCUUAUUCACAAUAGCAGACUCUUUAAAUGCCAAAUCCCUAUGGAAGAAACAAGUGAUAAAUUGUACCAAGACAUUCUGAGAGCAGCAGCAAAGAAGUCUGGGUAGGAAGCAAGGCCUGGCAAAUCCAUUGCUGCAUGUUAACCCAAAGAGUUGGCAAUGGCAUUUCCAAUGAGGUCAUCAAAGGUCCCACUCCAUGCCCUGGCUACACUUGAUGUUCCUGAUCAGAGAAGAAAAAUACUGUAUCGAGAAACCAAAGGUGGUUACGUCUGCUUUGUAUAAAGGAUUUUUACAGUAUGUCAAUGAGACAUUUUCAAUGCAGCAGUGAGCUCUGAUUGGUAUUGUUGAUAUAUUUUGGUCCGUAUGGGCUUGAGCUCUGACGGAGCAUCCAAUAAAACAGCUUAUAUCUAAUAUUUUAUAUUGAUUAUUAAAUUUGACAUGCCUAUGACAUAACAGCAGCAAGUUCCAGCCAGUGAUGAAGGCCCAAAUCUCCCCCACUGUCACAUAGCUGUAGAGAUAGGCAGAGCCAGUCUUGGGCACCCAAGCUCUAAAUUCAGCAUUGCACAGCCCUGCAAAGAUGGAGGCUAUUGCUGCCGCAAGGAAAUAUAUAAUUAAACUGGGCCCAAC